CAGUUGGUUAGAGCGCGCGCUUGAUAAGCGUGAGGUCGGAGGUUCAAGUCCUCCCAGGCCCACCACUUCCUUUCGACACGAAGGUUAUCAGGGGCCGUAGCUCAGCUGGGAGAGCGCCUGCUUUGCAAGCAGGAUGUCGUCGGUUCGAUCCCGUCCGGCUCCACCACUUGCGCAAUCCCGAAGGGAUUGUCGCGGUUCGCGACGAUCCUGCGGAUCGCGCGGAGGUGUCGAGCGGAGGUAGGAGAGAAAGUCAUUCGUAUAGAGAUUUGUGGUGAGCUUCUUGGCUUGCCGCUUGUUCUGUUUUGACAUUGUAAAGAGAAGAUUUGUUCGAACUUCAUGGAUCGCAAGGUUCAUGAUUUGUCGCGGGAGACGCUCAAUCUCCCGCAUAUGAUGGGUUUGCCUAACCGCGCCCUCGAACCGAUCUCGAGAAGCUGGUCUUUUUGUGCCAAUGACAUCGAAUUGGAUCCCGCACAGGAUCUGGUUCAGGUGCAAUCCUUUGGAUUGCGCGGACGCUGAACUCGCAAGGGUUUGGCUGAAGCGGCAAUCCCUUUGGGAUUGCGCGGGUGAGCAUUGGCAAUGAGAACGAUCAAGUGUCUUAAGGGCAAUUGGUGGAUGCCUUGGCAUGCACAGGCGAUGAAGGACGUGAUACGCUGCGAUAAGCUACGU
RNAcentral lists this unclassified non-coding RNA (666 nucleotides) under Mesorhizobium opportunistum. RNAcentral describes it as "partial contains 16S-23S ribosomal RNA intergenic spacer and 23S ribosomal RNA". The stretch from base 91 to 163 matches the Rfam family "tRNA". The record is from RNAcentral. Lineage: Bacteria; Pseudomonadati; Pseudomonadota; Alphaproteobacteria; Hyphomicrobiales; Phyllobacteriaceae.